RNAcentral lists this ribosomal RNA (492 nucleotides) under uncultured bacterium. Its description in RNAcentral is "partial 16S ribosomal RNA". It matches the Rfam family "Bacterial small subunit ribosomal RNA", at positions 29 to 507 of the family's 1533-position model. The record is from RNAcentral.
AGUGAACGCUGGCGGUAGGCCUAACACAUGCAAGUCGAACGGCAGCACAGUAAGAGCUUGCUCUUACGGGUGGCGAGUGGCGGACGGGUGAGGUAUACAUCGGAAUCUACUUUUUCGUGGGGGAUAACGUAGGGAAACUUACGCUAAUACCGCAUACGACCUACGGGUGAAAGCAGGGGAUCUUCGGACCUUGCGCGAUUGAAUGAGCCGAUGUCGGAUUAGCUAGUUGGCGGGGUAAAGGCCCACCAAGGCGACGAUCCGUAGCUGGUCUGAGAGGAUGAUCAGCAACACUGGAACUGAGACAAGGUCCAGACUCCUACGGGAGGCAGCAGUGGGGAAUAUUGGACAAUGGGAGCAAGCCUGAUCCAGCCAUACCGCGUGGGUGAAGAAGGCAUUCGGGUUGUAAAGCCCUUUUGUUGGGAAAGAAAAGCAGAAGGUUAAUACCCCGCUGUUCUGACGGUACCCAAAGAAUAAGCACCGGCUAACUUCGUG